CACACUUCUGAAGCACUUGAAGUGUUUGCACUCCUUGCGUUGAGUUAGUUACUGUGAUUCACCUUCUCAAUGCCAUCGAACUUCUGGAAUGUAGGAAGUUUUCACCCCAACUUGGAGUAAUUCUCUCAUAGGUUUAGUCACCUCUGGGAUUGUACCGUCUUCUCCAUCAACCCUGUCGCCUACUCCACUGAGUAGCAAAGGUACAACACCGCGUACUGCCUGCUUCAUUCCUUGGUUAUGCACUCUUGCAUGACCCGAAGUCCUUCACUUUCGGCUAUCUUGAUGAGAAGCACAUUGACACCAGUCUUACGAAGUUCUUCGGCCUCUGCCCUUCAGCCUUGUCUCGGUACUUGGAGAUUGCC
This 362-nucleotide long non-coding RNA is filed under the name Musa acuminata (dwarf banana). RNAcentral's name for it is "long non-coding RNA (MACU_LNC005358)". The record is from RNAcentral. Lineage: Eukaryota; Viridiplantae; Streptophyta; Magnoliopsida; Zingiberales; Musaceae.